RNAcentral lists this ribosomal RNA (442 nucleotides) under uncultured bacterium. RNAcentral describes it as "partial 16S ribosomal RNA". It matches the Rfam family "Bacterial small subunit ribosomal RNA", at positions 338 to 795 of the family's 1533-position model. The record is from RNAcentral.
CCUACGGGAGACAGCAGUGGGGGAUAUUGGACAAUGGGGGGAACCCUGAUCCAGCGACGCCGCGUGAGUGAAGAAGUAUCUCGGUAUGUAAAGCCCUAUCGGCAGGGAAGAAGAAAUGACGGUACCUGAGUAAGAAGCCCCGGCUAACUACGGGCCAGCAGCCGCGGGCAUACGGAGGGGGCAAGCGUUAUCCGGAAUUACUGGGUGUAAAGGGAGCGUAGACGGUGAUGUAAGUCUGGAGUGAAAGGCGGGGGCCCAACCCCCGGACUGCUCUUGAAACUAUGUGACUGGAGUGCAGGAGAGGUGUGCGGAAUGCCUGGUGUAGCGGUGAAAUGCGUAGAUAUUAGGAGGAACACCAGUGGCGAAGGCGGCUCACUGGACUGUAACUGACGUUGAGGCUCGAAAGCGUGGGGAGCGAACAGGAUUAGAUACCCUUGUAGUC